CCUACUGGAGGCCGCCGUGGGGAAUCUUGCGCAAUGGGCGAAAGCCUGACGCAGCGACGCCGCGUGAGGGAUGAAGGUCUUCGGAUCGUCAACCUCUGUCAGCAGGGAAGAACGGUCACUGUGCUAAUCAGCAGUGAAUUGACGGUACCUGCAAAGGAAGCACCGGCUAACUCCGUGCCAGCAGCCGCGAUAAUCCGGAGGGUGCGAGCGUUAAUCGGAAUUACGGGGCGUAAAGCGCUCGUAGGCGGUAUGUCAAGUCAAGGGUGAAAUCCCCGCGCUCAACGUGGGAACUGCCUUUGAAACUGGCAAACUGGAGUGUGUGAGAGGAUAGUGGAAUGCCAGGUGUAGGAGUGAAAUCCGUAGAUAUCUGGAGGAACAUCAGUGGCGAAGGCGACUAUCUGGCACAUAACUGACGCUGAGGAGCGAAAGCGUGGGUAGCAAACAGGAUUAGAUACCCUUGUAGUC
Molecule: ribosomal RNA, 465 nt
Filed under: uncultured bacterium
Lineage: Bacteria
Description: partial 16S ribosomal RNA
Rfam family: Bacterial small subunit ribosomal RNA
Source: RNAcentral